Molecule: long non-coding RNA, 206 nt
Filed under: Sorghum bicolor (sorghum)
Lineage: Eukaryota; Viridiplantae; Streptophyta; Magnoliopsida; Poales; Poaceae
Description: long non-coding RNA (SBIC_LNC003852)
Source: RNAcentral
AAAUUCUCCGUCACAUCGAAUCUUUAGACGCAUGCAUGGAGUGUUAAAUAUAAAAAAAAAUAAAAACUAAUUGCACAGUUUUGUCGGAAUUGACGAGACGAAUCUUUUGAGCCUAGUUAGUCCAUGAUUGGACAAUAUUUGUCAAAUACAAACGAAAAUACUACAAUGUCCAUUUCACAAAAAUUUUUAGAACUAAACAAGGCCUA